Molecule: ribosomal RNA, 1144 nt
Filed under: uncultured bacterium
Lineage: Bacteria
Description: bacterial SSU rRNA
Rfam family: Bacterial small subunit ribosomal RNA
Source: RNAcentral
AGCGCGGAUCUUCAGAGAUUAGAGUUUGAUCAUGGCUCAGAACGAACGCUGGCGGCGUGGAUAAGACAUGCAAGUCGAACGAUUACUGUUGGGUAGCAAUAUUCGGCAGUGAGAGUGGCGCAAGGGUGCGUAACACGUGGGUAAUUUGCCGUGAAGUCUGGGAUAACUUGCUGAAAGGCGAGCUAAUACCGGAUGUGAUUACUGGAAGGCAUCUUCCAGUACUUAAAGUCGGGGACCGCAAGGCCUGACGCUUCUCGAUAAGCCCGCGGCCUAUCAGCUAGUUGGUGAGGUAACGGCUCACCAAGGCUAAGACGGGUAGCUGGUCUGAGAGGACGACCAGCCACACUGGAACUGAGACACGGUCCAGACACCUACGGGUGGCAGCAGUCGAGAAUUUUUCUCAAUGGGCGAAAGCCUGAAGGAGCGACGCCGCGUGGGGGAUGAAUGGCUUCGGCCCGUAAACCCCUGUCAUUUGCGAUCAAACCUUACGACCUAACACGUCGUGAGCUGAUAGUAGCGGAAGAGGAAGGGACGGCUAACUCUGUGCCAGCAGCCGCGGUAAUACAGAGGUCCCAAGCGUUGUUCGGAUUCACUGGGCGUAAAGGGUGCGUAGGCGGUCGGGUAAGUCUGACGUGAAAUCUUCAAGCUCAACUUGGAAACUGCGUCGGAUACUAUUCGGCUAGAGGAAUGGAGGGGAGACUGGAAUACUUGGUGUAGCAGUGAAAUGCGUAGAUAUCAAGUGGAACACCAGUGGCGAAGGCGAGUCUCUGGACAUUUCCUGACGCUGAGGCACGAAAGCCAGGGGAGCAAACGGGAUUAGAUACCCCGGUAGUCCUGGCCCUAAACGGUGCGCAUUUGCUGUAAGAGGAAUCGACCCCUUUUGUGGCGAAGCUAACGCGUUAAAUGCGCCGCCUGGGAAGUACGGCCGCAAGGUUAAAACUCAAAGAAAUUGACGGGGGCCUGCACAAGCGGUGGAGUGUGUGGCUUAAUUCGAUGCAACGCGAAGAACCUUACCUGGCCUUGACAUGCAAGUAGUAGAACCCUGAAAGGGGGACGAGGUAGCAAUACCAGCUUGCACAGGUGCUGCAUGGCUGUCGUCAGCUCGUGUCGUGAGAUGUUGGGUUAAGUCCCCGCAACGAGCGCC